This 753-nucleotide ribosomal RNA is filed under the name uncultured bacterium. Its description in RNAcentral is "bacterial SSU rRNA". It matches the Rfam family "Bacterial small subunit ribosomal RNA", at positions 28 to 776 of the family's 1533-position model. The record is from RNAcentral.
GAUGAACGCUGGCUGUGUGCCUAAUACAUGCAUGUCGAGCGAAGCACUUUUGUGCUUAGCGGCGAAUGGGUGAGUAACACGUACUUAACCUACCCUCAAGAUUGGGACAACACUUGGAAACGAGUGCUAAUACCAAAUACGUAUUUUUAUCGCAUGAUAGAUAUAUAAAAGGAGCUUCGGCUUCACUAGAGGAUGGGAGUGCGCUACAUUAGUUAGUUGGUAGGGUAAUGGCCUACCAAGACUAUGAUGUAUAGCGGGGCCGAGAGGCUGAUCCGCCACACUGGGACUGAGAUACGGCCCAGACUCCUACGGGAGGCAGCAGUAGGGAAUUUUCCACAAUGAACGAAAGUUUGAUGGAGCGACACAGCGUGCAGGAUGAAGGUCUUCGGAUUGUAAACUGCUGUUAUAAGAGAAGAAAAACCCUGGUAGGUAAUGACCAGGACUUGACGGUACCUUAUCAGAAAGCGACGGCUAACUAUGUGCCAGCAGCCGCGGUAAUACAUAGGUCGCAAGCGUUAUCCGGAAUUAUUGGGCGUAAAGAGUUCGUAGGUGGUUUUGUAAGUCUGAAGUUAAAUACCGGGGCUCAACCCCGGCCCGCUUUGGAUACUGCAAAACUAGAGUAAUAGAGAGGUUAGUGGAACUCCAAGUGAAGCGGUGGAAUGCGUAGAUAUUUUGGAAGAACACCAAUGGCGAAGGCAACUAACUGGAUAUUAAACUGACACUGAGGAACGAAAAGCGUGGGUAGCAAACAGG